AUGGAGCGUGACCGAGAGGACGCCGCUCUCCGGGCUCUUGAGCUUGCCGGCAUCUGCCGCGAGACCGUCCGCGUCAUCCGCUCCAGCCGUCCGGGCUUCUCCUUCAUGGUCAGCAUGGUGAUCACGCUCUCCGUGUCCUUGCUCGCCCACGUCGCCAUCGCUCGCGCCCUCUAUAGGCUCCUCUCCGACGGUGUCGCCUCCUCCGACGCUGGCGCCGGCCUCGUCCGUUUCGCCACGAACUGGGAACUCUUCUUCCUCGAUGAGGCGGCCUGCCUCCUCGCCAUCCUCGUCCAGUCGCUCGGCUCCGCCGCCUUCUGCAUCUUCUCCGUCGCCCCGCGCUAUGGCGUAACCGACGAUCCCGACGCCCGCUCAAUCGCGCGCGACCUCCGCGCCGUCCCCGGGUUCCUCGCCAGGUACGUCGUGUCUGUGUUCCGGGGCAACUCUCUCUGCACCGCGGGCCUGGUCUGGACCGGCCCCAAGGUUGCCUGGCGCCUCGUGGCCACCUGCCUCGGCGCCUUCCUCCACCUCGUCGGCUACACCACCCUCUUCGGUGCCGCCGCCUGGAUCACGCGCCCUUACCUCCUCACCGCUGCUCCGGGUGAAGAGAGCAGCGCGCAGCUGUCGCGGGCGAUGCUGCUGCUGAUCGGCGCCGGGUACCUCGCCGGAGCGGCGGCGGCGCGCAUCGGCACGGUGUGGCGCGUCGCAUGCGUAAUGUCGGUGCUGGUCGUACAGCUUGCUUUGGGGGUGUUGGUGGUGGACAACAGGAUGGGCCUCGGCGUCUUGCACCGGGUGGCCGCGGGGGUGGUGAUGGCGGUGGCGCUGUGGGCGGCGGUGAUGGCGGGCCUGGUGGCGCAGGUGGUGGUGUUCUUCGUGUGCAAGGGCAGCAGUGACGGAGCGGGAGCGCCCAGCAACCGCGAGAGCUUCGACGGCGUGGCGGCGAACAGCGACUAA
This 951-nucleotide ribosomal RNA is filed under the name Triticum aestivum (bread wheat). RNAcentral's name for it is "partial small subunit ribosomal RNA". The record is from RNAcentral. Lineage: Eukaryota; Viridiplantae; Streptophyta; Magnoliopsida; Poales; Poaceae.